CAAAAUCCUAAAUCUAAUAGAAUACUAAUUAAAUUCUAAUUAGACCAUAAUAAUGCUAAAUAAGAUUUAAUCAAAUUUAAAGAAACCUCAAAAUAAUUACAAAGUAAUAAUAAAAAAUCUUAAAGAAAUAUUAGAAUGAAUACAAAUAUAUCUCAAAUACAUCUCAAUUCAAUCUUAAUUUAAUCCUACUUAAAAUCCUAUUAGAUUCUAUUCAAAAUUUAGGCCAAAAAAAAAUUAAAUCUUAAAUCCUAAAUAAAUCCUAAUAAAAUCCUAAAUCCAAAACCAAAUCCUAAUCAAAUCCUAAAUCAAAUCCUAAUCAAAUCUUAAACCUUAAAUCAAACCCUAACCAAACCUUAAAUCCAACACCAAA
This 370-nucleotide long non-coding RNA is filed under the name Physcomitrium patens. RNAcentral's name for it is "long non-coding RNA (PPAT_LNC010865)". Lineage: Eukaryota; Viridiplantae; Streptophyta; Bryopsida; Funariales; Funariaceae. The record is from RNAcentral.